RNAcentral lists this transfer RNA (71 nucleotides) under Stegodyphus mimosarum. It matches the Rfam family "tRNA". From Rfam's summary of the family: Transfer RNA (tRNA) molecules are approximately 80 nucleotides in length. Their secondary structure includes four short double-helical elements and three loops (D, anti-codon, and T loops). Further hydrogen bonds mediate the characteristic L-shaped molecular structure. tRNAs have two regions of fundamental functional importance: the anti-codon, which is responsible for specific mRNA codon recognition, and the 3' end, to which the tRNAs corresponding amino acid is attached (by aminoacyl-tRNA synthetases). tRNAs cope with the degeneracy of the genetic code in two manners: having more than one tRNA (with a specific anti-codon) for a particular amino acid; and 'wobble' base-pairing, i.e. permitting non-standard base-pairing at the 3rd anti-codon position. The record is from Rfam by way of RNAcentral. Lineage: Eukaryota; Metazoa; Arthropoda; Arachnida; Araneae; Eresidae.
GCCUUCGUGGUCUAACGGUAGAACACUCGACACGUAUUCGAGAGGUCCAGGUUCGAAUCCCGGCGAGGACA